AAAUUGAAGAGUUUGAUCAUGGCUCAGAUUGAACGCUGGCGGCAGGCCUAACACAUGCAAGUCGAACGGUAACAGGAAGAAGCUUGCUUCUUUGCUGACGAGUGGCGGACGGGUGAGUAAUGUCUGGGAAACUGCCUGAUGGAGGGGGAUAACUACUGGAAACGGUAGCUAAUACCGCAUAACGUCGCAAGACCAAAGAGGGGGACCUUCGGGCCUCUUGCCAUCGGAUGUGCCCAGAUGGGAUUAGCUUGUUGGUGGGGUAACGGCUCACCAAGGCGACGAUCCCUAGCUGGUCUGAGAGGAUGACCAGCCACACUGGAACUGAGACACGGUCCAGACUCCUACGGGAGGCAGCAGUGGGGAAUAUUGCACAAUGGGCGCAAGCCUGAUGCAGCCAUGCCGCGUGUAUGAAGAAGGCCUUCGGGUUGUAAAGUACUUUCAGCGGGGAGGAAGGGAGUAAAGUUAAUACCUUUGCUCAUUGACGUUACCCGCAGAAGAAGCACCGGCUAACUCCGUGCCAGCAGCCGCGGUAAUACGGAGGGUGCAAGCGUUAAUCGGAAUUACUGGGCGUAAAGCGCACGCAGGCGGUUUGUUAAGUCAGAUGUGAAAUCCCCGGGCUCAACCUGGGAACUGCAUCUGAUACUGGCAAGCUUGAGUCUCGUAGAGGGGGGUAGAAUUCCAGGUGUAGCGGUGAAAUGCGUAGAGAUCUGGAGGAAUACCGGUGGCGAAGGCGGCCCCCUGGACGAAGACUGACGCUCAGGUGCGAAAGCGUGGGGAGCAAACAGGAUUAGAUACCCUGGUAGUCCACGCCGUAAACGAUGUCGACUUGGAGGUUGUGCCCUUGAGGCGUGGCUUCCGGAGCUAACGCGUUAAGUCGACCGCCUGGGGAGUACGGCCGCAAGGUUAAAACUCAAAUGAAUUGACGGGGGCCCGCACAAGCGGUGGAGCAUGUGGUUUAAUUCGAUGCAACGCGAAGAACCUUACCUGGUCUUGACAUCCACAGAACCUUGUAGAGAUACGAGGGUGCCUUCGGGAACUGUGAGACAGGUGCUGCAUGGCUGUCGUCAGCUCGUGUUGUGAAAUGUUGGGUUAAGUCCCGCAACGAGCGCAACCCUUAUCCUUUGUUGCCAGCGGUCCGGCCGGGAACUCAAAGGAGACUGCCAGUGAUAAACUGGAGGAAGGUGGGGAUGACGUCAAGUCAUCAUGGCCCUUACGACCAGGGCUACACACGUGCUACAAUGGCGCAUACAAAGAGAAGCGACCUCGCGAGAGCAAGCGGACCUCAUAAAGUGCGUCGUAGUCCGGAUUGGAGUCUGCAACUCGACUCCAUGAAGUCGGAAUCGCUAGUAAUCGUGGAUCAGAAUGCCACGGUGAAUACGUUCCCGGGCCUUGUACACACCGCCCGUCACACCAUGGGAGUGGGUUGCAAAAGAAGUAGGUAGCUUAACCUUCGGGAGGGCGCUUACCACUUUGUGAUUCAUGACUGGGGUGAAGUCGUAACAAGGUAACCGUAGGGGAACCUGCGGUUGGAUCACCUCCUUACCUUAAAGAAGC
Molecule: ribosomal RNA, 1554 nt
Filed under: Escherichia coli
Lineage: Bacteria; Pseudomonadati; Pseudomonadota; Gammaproteobacteria; Enterobacterales; Enterobacteriaceae
Also listed under: 2 other names
Description: bacterial SSU rRNA
Rfam family: Bacterial small subunit ribosomal RNA
Source: RNAcentral